This 262-nucleotide ribosomal RNA is filed under the name uncultured bacterium. Its description in RNAcentral is "partial 16S ribosomal RNA". It matches the Rfam family "Bacterial small subunit ribosomal RNA", at positions 793 to 1055 of the family's 1533-position model. The record is from RNAcentral.
GUCCACGCCGUAAACGAUGUCGACUAGCCGUUGGGCCCUUAUGGGGUUUAGUGGCGCAGCUAACGCAUUAAGUCGACCGCCUGGGGAGUACGGCCGCAAGGUUAAAACUCAAAUGAAUUGACGGGGCCCGCACAAGCGGUGGAGCAUGUGGUUUAAUUCGAUGCAACGCGAAGAACCUUACCUACCCUUGACAUCCAGAGAAUCUGUUAGAGAUAGUGGAGUGCCUUCGGGAACUCUGAGACAGGUGCUGCAUGGCUGUCGU